AUGUUCAACGACUGCAUCGCGGAUCUCGGCCUCCGCGAGCUUGAGCGGACGGGUGCCAGGUUUACCUGGACUAACCGCCAAGCCGACCCGACGCGGUCCGUCUUGGACCGCGUCCUAGUCUCCCCGGAAUGGGAACUUAGAUGCCCCUUGGCCUCGCUUCGUGCGAUUACCCGGAUUGGGUCGGACCACGUCCCUCUCCUUCUCUCCACUGCCGAUGAACGUCCUCCCACCCCGCCUCGCUUCAGGUUCGAGCUCUUCUGGCUCAACCAAGCGGGCUUCAGGGAGGCAGUCGGGACCAAGUGGACCUCUACGCGCUCCUCUCCCCACCGAUCCAUGUCAGCGGUGGACUCCUGGCAGUUCUGUGCCAAGAUCGGCCGCCAAUUCAUGAAAGGGUGGGGAGCUAACCUUGGUAGGGACCUCCGCGAACGGAAAAAAGUCCUCCUUUCAGCCAUCCAGGCCUUGGAUUACCGCGCGGACACCUCCGGGAUCUCCCCGGAUGAGUGGAUGGUGCGAUAUGAUCUCGAGGAUCAGCUCGCUACCAUCUACACGGAUGAAGAAGCUUACUGGAGGCUCCGCGGUACCCAGCGU
RNAcentral lists this ribosomal RNA (588 nucleotides) under Triticum aestivum (bread wheat). Its description in RNAcentral is "partial small subunit ribosomal RNA". Lineage: Eukaryota; Viridiplantae; Streptophyta; Magnoliopsida; Poales; Poaceae. The record is from RNAcentral.